GCCGGCUUCAUCCCGUUCGGCCAAGAAAAUGGUGGAAUACCGCCAGAAAAGUCCGAUUGAGACAAAUCUGGUUCCUUUUCGCACAAAAUAUGGCUUGAUUACGAUUAUCCAACCUUUUUUCACGCAGCUGUGCACGUUUGGAAGAUCUAUCAUUCUGCACCCUCUGCCGCUCCAAUCCGGUCGAUCCGCGUCUAGAGACAGGUCGACUGAUCCCUCCUGCACACCACGCUGUCAUGCGCUGAAUCGCGCUGCAUUGACCUGACAGGGCCCCUCCCUUGUACUAGUUCGUUUUUAGCGCACAAGACGUCUAAUGUGGCUAUUCCGCGCGCCGGAGCAGAGCUUUCCGCCUUUGAGCCAGUACCGAGCCGAGCCAAAUCU
RNAcentral lists this long non-coding RNA (378 nucleotides) under Carica papaya (papaya). Its description in RNAcentral is "long non-coding RNA (CPAP_LNC002707)". The record is from RNAcentral. Lineage: Eukaryota; Viridiplantae; Streptophyta; Magnoliopsida; Brassicales; Caricaceae.